This 798-nucleotide ribosomal RNA is filed under the name Staphylococcus aureus. RNAcentral's name for it is "bacterial SSU rRNA". It matches the Rfam family "Bacterial small subunit ribosomal RNA", at positions 78 to 862 of the family's 1533-position model. The record is from RNAcentral. Lineage: Bacteria; Bacillati; Bacillota; Bacilli; Caryophanales; Staphylococcaceae.
UUGCUUCUCUGAUGUUAGCGGCGGACGGGUGAGUAACACGUGGAUAACCUACCUAUAAGACUGGGAUAACUUCGGGAAACCGGAGCUAAUACCGGAUAAUAUUUUGAACCGCAUGGUUCAAAAGUGAAAGACGGUCUUGCUGUCACUUAUAGAUGGAUCCGCGCUGCAUUAGCUAGUUGGUAAGGUAACGGCUUACCAAGGCAACGAUGCAUAGCCGACCUGAGAGGGUGAUCGGCCACACUGGAACUGAGACACGGUCCAGACUCCUACGGGAGGCAGCAGUAGGGAAUCUUCCGCAAUGGGCGAAAGCCUGACGGAGCAACGCCGCGUGAGUGAUGAAGGUCUUCGGAUCGUAAAACUCUGUUAUUAGGGAAGAACAUAUGUGUAAGUAACUGUGCACAUCUUGACGGUACCUAAUCAGAAAGCCACGGCUAACUACGUGCCAGCAGCCGCGGUAAUACGUAGGUGGCAAGCGUUAUCCGGAAUUAUUGGGCGUAAAGCGCGCGUAGGCGGUUUUUUAAGUCUGAUGUGAAAGCCCACGGCUCAACCGUGGAGGGUCAUUGGAAACUGGAAAACUUGAGUGCAGAAGAGGAAAGUGGAAUUCCAUGUGUAGCGGUGAAAUGCGCAGAGAUAUGGAGGAACACCAGUGGCGAAGGCGACUUUCUGGUCUGUAACUGACGCUGAUGUGCGAAAGCGUGGGGAUCAAACAGGAUUAGAUACCCUGGUAGUCCACGCCGUAAACGAUGAGUGCUAAGUGUUAGGGGGUUUCCGCCCCUUAGUGCUGCAGCUAACGCAUUA